UUGCUUGCUAACCCAAGCACUUGCCUU
Molecule: non-coding RNA, 27 nt
Filed under: Rattus norvegicus (Norway rat)
Lineage: Eukaryota; Metazoa; Chordata; Mammalia; Rodentia; Muridae
Source: RNAcentral